AGAGUUUGAUCAUGGCUCAGGACGAACGCUGGCGGCGUGCUUAACACAUGCAAGUCGAACGGAAAGGCCCCUUCGGGGGUGCUCGAGUGGCGAACGGGUGAGUAACACGUGGGUGAUCUGCCCUGCACUUUGGGAUAAGCCUGGGAAACUGGGUCUAAUACCGGAUAGGACCACGGUCUGCAUGGGCUGUGGUGGAAAGCUUUUGCGGUGUGGGAUGGGCCCGCGGCCUAUCAGCUUGUUGGUGGGGUGAUGGCCCACCAAGGCGACGACGGGUAGCCGGCCUGAGAGGGUGUCCGGCCACACUGGGACUGAGAUACGGCCCAGACCCCUACGGGAGGCAGCAGUGGGGAAUAUUGCACAAUGGGCGCAAGCCUGAUGCAGCGACGCCGCGUGAGGGAUGACGGCCUUCGGGUUGUAAACCUCUUUCAAUGCCGACGAAGCGCAAGUGACGGUAGGCGUAGAAGAAGCACCGGCCAACUACGUGCCAGCAGCCGCGGUA
Molecule: ribosomal RNA, 499 nt
Filed under: uncultured Actinomycetes bacterium
Lineage: Bacteria; Bacillati; Actinomycetota; Actinomycetes
Description: bacterial SSU rRNA
Rfam family: Bacterial small subunit ribosomal RNA
Source: RNAcentral